This 253-nucleotide ribosomal RNA is filed under the name uncultured bacterium. RNAcentral describes it as "partial 16S ribosomal RNA". It matches the Rfam family "Bacterial small subunit ribosomal RNA", at positions 524 to 776 of the family's 1533-position model. The record is from RNAcentral.
UACGUAGGGGGCUAGCGUUGUCCGGAUUUAUUGGGCGUAAAGAGCGUGUAGGCGGCCAGGUAGGUCUGCUGUGAAAACUCGAGGCUCAACCUCGAGACGUCGGCGGAAACCAUCUGGCUAGAGUCCGGAAGAGGAGAGUGGAAUUCCUGGUGUAGCGGUGAAAUGCGCAGAUAUCGGAAGGAACACCAGAGGCGAAAGCGGCUUCCUGGUCCAGCACCGACGUUCAGGCACGAAAGCGUGGGGAGCAAACAGG